AGAGUUUGAUCAUGGCUCAGAUUGAACGCUGGCGGCAGGCCUAACACAUGCAAGUCGAGCGGUAGCACAGAGAGCUUGCUCUCGGGUGACGAGCGGCGGACGGGUGAGUAAUGUCUGGGAAACUGCCUGAUGGAGGGGGAUAACUACUGGAAACGGUAGCUAAUACCGCAUAAUGUCGCAAGACCAAAGUGGGGGACCUUCGGGCCUCAUGCCAUCAGAUGUGCCCAGAUGGGAUUAGCUAGUAGGUGGGGUAACGGCUCACCUAGGCGACGAUCCCUAGCUGGUCUGAGAGGAUGACCAGCCACACUGGAACUGAGACACGGUCCAGACUCCUACGGGAGGCAGCAGUGGGGAAUAUUGCACAAUGGGCGCAAGCCUGAUGCAGCCAUGCCGCGUGUGUGAAGAAGGCCUUCGGGUUGUAAAGCACUUUCAGCGGGGAGGAAGGCGGUGAGGUUAAUAACCUCAUCGAUUGACGUUACCCGCAGAAGAAGCACCGGCUAACUCCGUGCCAGCAGCCGCGGUAAUACGGAGGGUGCAAGCGUUAAUCGGAAUUACUGGGCGUAAAGCGCACGCAGGCGGUCUGUCAAGUCGGAUGUGAAAUCCCCGGGCUUAACCUGGGAACUGCAUUCGAAACUGGCAGGCUAGAGUCUUGUAGAGGGGGGUAGAAUUCCAGGUGUAGCGGUGAAAUGCGUAGAGAUCUGGAGGAAUACCGGUGGCGAAGGCGGCCCCCUGGACAAAGACUGACGCUCAGGUGCGAAAGCGUGGGGAGCAAACAGGAUUAGAUACCCUGGUAGUCCACGCCGUAAACGAUGUCGAUUUGGAGGUUGUGCCCUUGAGGCGUGGCUUCCGGAGCUAACGCGUUAAAUCGACCGCCUGGGGAGUACGGCCGCAAGGUUAAAACUCAAAUGAAUUGACGGGGGCCCGCACAAGCGGUGGAGCAUGUGGUUUAAUUCGAUGCAACGCGAAGAACCUUACCUGGUCUUGACAUCCACAGAACUUAGCAGAGAUGCUUUGGUGCCUUCGGGAACUGUGAGACAGGUGCUGCAUGGCUGUCGUCAGCUCGUGUUGUGAAAUGUUGGGUUAAGUCCCGCAACGAGCGCAACCCUUAUCCUUUGUUGCCAGCGGUCCGGCCGGGAACUCAAAGGAGACUGCCAGUGAUAAACUGGAGGAAGGUGGGGAUGACGUCAAGUCAUCAUGGCCCUUACGACCAGGGCUACACACGUGCUACAAUGGCAUAUACAAAGAGAAGCGACCUCGCGAGAGCAAGCGGACCUCAUAAAGUAUGUCGUAGUCCGGAUUGGAGUCUGCAACUCGACUCCAUGAAGUCGGAAUCGCUAGUAAUCGUAGAUCAGAAUGCUACGGUGAAUACGUUCCCGGGCCUUGUACACACCGCCCGUCACACCAUGGGAGUGGGUUGCAAAAGAAGUAGGUAGCUUAACCUUCGGGAGGGCGCUUACCACUUUGUGAUUCAUGACUGGGGUGAAGUCGUAACAAGGUAACCGUAGGGGAACCUGCGGUUG
Molecule: ribosomal RNA, 1520 nt
Filed under: Klebsiella pneumoniae
Lineage: Bacteria; Pseudomonadati; Pseudomonadota; Gammaproteobacteria; Enterobacterales; Enterobacteriaceae
Description: bacterial SSU rRNA
Rfam family: Bacterial small subunit ribosomal RNA
Source: RNAcentral